AGAGUUUGAUCAUGGCUCAGAAUUAACGCUAGCGAUACACCUAACACAUGCAAGUUGAACGCAUAUAUUUUUAUAUGAGUAGCGAACGGGUGCGUAACACGUGAGAAUCUACCCAUAGCUUAUGGUUAAAUGCCGUAGAAUCUUAUAGAUUUAGAUAUAUAUCGGUUAUGGAUGAGCUUGCGGGGUAUUAGGUAGUUGGUGUGGUAAUGGCGCACCAAGCCCAAGAUGCCUAGCCGGUUUGAGAGAACGAUCGGCCACACUGGGACUGAGACACGGCCCAGACGCUUACGAGCGGCAGCAGUGGGGAAUAUUGGACAAUGGGCGAAAGCCUGAUCCAGUGAUAUCGCUUUGGGGAUGACGGCGACAUACGUUGUAAACCCAAUGAAGUACGUUUAGAUUAUGACCGUACGUAUUUUAGAAGUCCCGGCUAAUCUCGUGCCAGCAGCCGCGGUAAUACGAGAGGGGCAAGCGUUAUUCAAAAUGAUUGGGCGUAAAGCGCACGUAGGUGGUGAUAUGUAUCCAUAAUUAUUCAGGCUACAAGUCUUGUCGAUAUUUAUGAUGUAUAUGUAUUUCUUGAGGGUGUGAGAGGAGCAUGGAAUUUCCUAGGAAGCGGUAGAAUGUGUUGAUCUAGGAAGGAACACCAAUAGCGAAAGCAGUGCUCUGGCACAUUCCUGACAUUGAGGUGCGAAAGCGUGGGGAUCAAAAGGGAUUAGAUACCCCU
RNAcentral lists this ribosomal RNA (721 nucleotides) under uncultured bacterium. RNAcentral's name for it is "bacterial SSU rRNA". It matches the Rfam family "Bacterial small subunit ribosomal RNA", at positions 8 to 789 of the family's 1533-position model. The record is from RNAcentral.